ACGAACGCUGGCGGCGUGCUUAACACAUGCAAGUCGAACGGAAAGGCCUCUUUCGGGGGGUACUCGAGUGGCGAACGGGUGAGUAACACGUGAGUAACCUGCCCUUGACUUUGGGAUAACUUCAGGAAACUGGGGCUAAUACCGGAUAGGAGCUCCUGCUGCAUGGUGGGGGUUGGAAAGUUUCGGCGGUUGGGGAUGGACUCGCGGCUUAUCAGCUUGUUGGUGGGGUAGUGGCUUACCAAGGCUUUGACGGGUAGCCGGCCUGAGAGGGUGACCGGCCACAUUGGGACCGAGAUACGGCCCAGACUCCUACGGGAGGCAGCAGUGGGGAAUAUUGCACAAUGGGUGGAAGCCUGAUGCAGCAACGCCGUGUGCGGGAUGACGGCCUUCGGGUUGUAAACCGCUUUCGCUCAUGACGAAGCUUUGUGUGACGGUAGUGGGUAAAGAAGCACCGGCUAACUACGUG
This 466-nucleotide ribosomal RNA is filed under the name uncultured bacterium. RNAcentral describes it as "partial 16S ribosomal RNA". It matches the Rfam family "Bacterial small subunit ribosomal RNA", at positions 29 to 507 of the family's 1533-position model. The record is from RNAcentral.